Molecule: ribosomal RNA, 492 nt
Filed under: uncultured bacterium
Lineage: Bacteria
Description: partial 16S ribosomal RNA
Rfam family: Bacterial small subunit ribosomal RNA
Source: RNAcentral
GAUGAACGCUAGCUACAGGCUUAACACAUGCAAGUCGAGGGGAAACGGCAUCGAAAGCUUGCUUUUGAUGGGCGUCGACCGGCGCACGGGUGAGUAACGCGUAUCCAACCUGCCCAUCACUUGGGAAUAACCUUGCGAAAGUAAGACUAAUGCCCAAUGACAUCCCACGAAGGCAUCCGAAUGGGAUUAAAGAUUUAUCGGUGAUGGAUGGGGAUGCGUCUGAUUAGCUUGUUGGCGGGGUGACGGCCCACCAAGGCAACGAUCAGUAGGGGUUCUGAGAGGAAGGUCCCCCACAUUGGAACUGAGACACGGUCCAAACUCCUACGGGAGGCAGCAGUGAGGAAUAUUGGUCAAUGGGCGAGAGCCUGAACCAGCCAAGUAGCGUGCAGGAUGACGGCCCUAUGGGUUGUAAACUGCUUUUAUAAGGGAAUAAAGUGGGUAACGUGUGACUUUUUGCAUGUACCUUAUGAAUAAGGACCGGCUAAUUCCGUG